GAAAUAGUACUGAUUCAGGUCUUUACAAAAAACCUACUAUCUACUGCUUACAAGUUAAAUGGGUUAGCACACACUUUUAGAGAUCUUCAAAUCAAAAAGUUUGGGUCUCAAUUCGAUCGACUGCUCUGGAUCUUCAAAUCAGUGCUCCAUUGCUCCAGCGCAUGUCAAAAUUAACAAAAACUUUGGGUCUCCGAUCGACUACUGCUCCGACUACGAGUGCUCCGACCACUUCGAUUGAACCCUAGCCAUCUAUUGAAACAGAAUACAGAUAUACUCGAGACGUUAACUCCACAAGUUAGGAAGCGUGUAGAUAUUCUAAGAGAGCUUCAGGUAAGUUUCCUGAUGUGACGUCUUUGAUACCUGCUAGCCCGAACGCAUCUUCUGGUUUGUCUUUUGGAAGGCAAAGGGCAAAGGAUCCUGGAAUGGUGUUUGUUUCUGGUGCCACUGGACAAGCUGGUAUCCGCAUUGCUCGGAUACUGUUGCGUGAAGGUUAUAGUGUAAAAGGUGGAGUUUCUGACCUUGGUGCAGCGCAAGAACUAGCUCAUCUAGCCAUUAGCUACAAGCAGAUAGAGCAUAAUUGGGACGGGAUAACUCUAAAGGACUUCAUCCUAAAGAGAUCAGUACCAUUAUCGGUGUAUUCUUGGAUAAAGGGAACAAUGAAAGCGAGAGCAUACCAUUUGAGUUGUACAAAAGGCGCACGAUGGUGAUUGUCAGAAUAGGAACUUUGCUUUAACCAAAUACAAGUAUAUGGGCCCCAACCAGAGGGCCGACUUAAUUUUAGUUUGCAGGAUUCGAGAAAGAAAAGAAUCUGUAACUGUGCUAUUGUGUGGUACUAGCGGCUGUGGCAAAUCUACCAUGUCUUCUUUACUGGUAUAAGUUCUCUCAUAGCUUUUGGCUGUUGUACCUACCAUUAACAGGUAUUAGCUGAUGCGCCUUGCAAUAUUUUCUAACCUUAGCUACAUGUGUUGUACUUGAUCUCAUGUUUGUAAUAUACCAUUGUUGUUAUCCUGUUGGUUGGGGGAAAGAGAUGUACCCACACGGUUAUGCACAAAGAUACUGAUGCAUAGAAUGCUAAUAUUGACACCACCAACAUUUUGGAUAUGCAGGAACUUAUUGGCUAGUCAUUUUAUGGACCUGUUACUACUCUUCUCUUGUAUCAUUGUAAGUCUCCUGAACGUUUUUUUCAUCUGCAGUGCUGGCAGAUCACAUCUAAAGAGGAAAUUAGAUCUUGAAUUCCAACCCGAAGAGGAAUAAGAUAUUUUUCUGAUUUUUUUUCCCAUCUGCAUGAGGGCUGCUAUAUUGUUUACAAGGUCUUUGGUAGAUAAUAUCACGUGUAUGUUUUCAUCCCUAUGGAAUUUGUUCACUCAUAUAUCCAGAUUAAUCUCAAGUUCUGAACUUUGUAUAAGAUUACGAACUACGUUGAGAUGUAAUCCAUAAUGACAAUCCAUUCAUACUUUGUACUCCCUCCAUUUCAAUUUGUUUGUCUUGUUUUGACUUGGCAUGGAAAUCCUUCUAAUGAAAUCUAUCAAUGGCAAGUUCUACUAAUGAAAGUGCUCAGAAAUUUACUAUAUUAUAAAAUUGUUUCUUGCUCAGAAAUUUACUAUAUUUAUUCAUUUGCUAUUAAGAUUGUUUAUGCUCUAUUUAUAGGUGUUCUUUUAUGUUUCAAUUGAAAAUUAAAUAUGUUGUCAUUUAAGUGUUAAUUAAGAUUAUUUUUUCUCUUUUUAUAGAUGUUCAAAAUGGAGGCGAUGAAGAAAGUGAUGAAGAAAUUGACCUUACUCGAGAGAAUUUGCGAAGUAUUGAAUUCUGUGAAACUUAUCGCCACUCGAACUUGAUACUUUAUGGGAAAACUAAUGACUGUUUGACUUUAACAUUUUUCUUUUGGAUUUAAGUUGAUAGUUUGUUGGAUAUUUUAAUUUGAAUUAUUAUUAAUGAAAGAUUUUGUCGUGAUGUGCA
Capsicum annuum is the source of this 1953-nucleotide long non-coding RNA. RefSeq lists it as uncharacterized. NCBI's taxonomy places the organism in Eukaryota, Viridiplantae, Streptophyta, Magnoliopsida, Solanales, Solanaceae. The record is from RefSeq and is a predicted model, not a curated record. The transcript is spliced from 5 exons.